UAGGGAAUCUUCCACAAUGGACGCAAGUCUGAUGGAGCAACGCCGCGUGAGUGAAGAAGGUUUUCGGAUCGUAAAGCUCUGUUGUUGGUGAAGAAGGAUAGAGGUAGUAACUGGCCUUUAUUUGACGGUAAUCAACCAGAAAGUCACGGCUAACUACGUGCCAGCAGCCGCGGUAAUACGUAGGUGGCAAGCGUUGUCCGGAUUUAUUGGGCGUAAAGCGAGCGCAGGCGGAAGAAUAAGUCUGAUGUGAAAGCCCUCGGCUUAACCGAGGAACUGCAUCGGAAACUGUUUGUCUUGAGUGCAGAAGAGGAGAGUGGAAUUCCAUGUGUAGCGGUGGAAUGCGUAGAUAUAUGGGAGAACACCAGUGGCGAAGGCGACUCUCUGGUCUGCAACUGACGCUGAGGCUCGAAAGCAUGGGUAGCGAACAGG
Molecule: ribosomal RNA, 429 nt
Filed under: bacterium
Lineage: Bacteria
Description: partial 16S ribosomal RNA
Rfam family: Bacterial small subunit ribosomal RNA
Source: RNAcentral